AACGAACGCUGGCGGCAUGCCUAACACAUGCAAGUCGAACGGGAUCCUAGCUUGCUAGGUGAGAGUGGCGGACGGGUGAGUAACACGUGGGAAUCUGCCUUUUGGUUCGGGAUAACCGCGGGAAACUGCGGCUAAUACCGAAUGCCCUCGAGAGAGGAAAGAUUUAUCGCCAGAAGAGGAGCCCGCGUCCGAUUAGGUAGUUGGUGGGGUAAAGGCCUACCAAGCCGACGAUCGGUAGCUGGUCUGAGAGGAUGAUCAGCCACACUGGGACUGAGAUACGGCCCAGACUCCUACGGGAGGCAGCAGUGGGGAAUAUUGGACAAUGGGGGCAACCCUGAUCCAGCAAUGCCGCGUGAGUGAUGAAGGCCUUAGGGUUGUAAAGCUCUUUUGCCAGGGAAGAUGAUGACUGUACCUGGAGAAUAAGCCCCGGCUAACUUCGUGCCAGCAGCCGCGGUAAU
This 458-nucleotide ribosomal RNA is filed under the name uncultured bacterium. RNAcentral's name for it is "bacterial SSU rRNA". It matches the Rfam family "Bacterial small subunit ribosomal RNA", at positions 29 to 524 of the family's 1533-position model. The record is from RNAcentral.